UUUUGAAUAUUUUAAUGAUAAGGAGAAAGGUAAAUUGUAAAUUUAUAAGUAGAAAUUAAGUUUUCUUUCAAAAA
This 74-nucleotide transfer RNA is filed under the name Diversibipalium mayottensis. Its description in RNAcentral is "tRNA-Tyr". The record is from RNAcentral. Lineage: Eukaryota; Metazoa; Platyhelminthes; Tricladida; Geoplanidae.